GAGGAAAGCAGUCACAUCCCAGUGCUA
Molecule: non-coding RNA, 27 nt
Filed under: Bombyx mori (domestic silkworm)
Lineage: Eukaryota; Metazoa; Arthropoda; Insecta; Lepidoptera; Bombycidae
Source: RNAcentral